CAACACCAACCAGUAUUACACAGGUUCAGAUAGGGGAUGUGUCAAGUAGUUUUACACCCAGACCUCAAGAGACAGUAUUACUGGUUUUGUCAGACAAAGUGAAGAAGUGUCUAUGACAAAGCACUUCAAUUCAAGUGGUUGACUCUCUACUAGUACAACUUGACUAACACUCUGGUAACACAUCAGUCUAUCAGUUAACUCCCAGUAACAACAGAGUGUAGUCAGUGAAAAGAGAUUCAAUACUACUGAAGUUUAGGAUCUGUGUGAAAGAUAUUGUUACUUUCAAAGAAUGGUUUAUUGUCCAGAACAAAAAGAAGAUGACUGAGCUCCAAGUCUUGUAUAUGUAUCAAAGCAAGCGUUGUCAAGGUCUAAUGGGUACUUCAUAAGAAUUAAUCAAAACAGUAAUGCAUGGACACACUCAUGAACUAUCAAGGAUUUUAAUGGUAGUUAAGUUUUCAAAAUGGUACAGAUAGCACUGAGUUCUUAGCGCUCAAACAAAAGCUUGUUAUUAUAUACUGCUACAUGUAAAAUUGAAAAUAUACCACACAUAUUUCUGUCUUGCUA
Molecule: long non-coding RNA, 564 nt
Organism: Biomphalaria glabrata
Lineage: Eukaryota; Metazoa; Mollusca; Gastropoda; Planorbidae
Exons: 2
Source: RefSeq, a predicted model, not a curated record